Molecule: long non-coding RNA, 581 nt
Organism: Lucilia sericata (common green bottle fly)
Lineage: Eukaryota; Metazoa; Arthropoda; Insecta; Diptera; Calliphoridae
Exons: 2
Source: RefSeq, a predicted model, not a curated record
UACUCGAUAACCAAAUGUUAGGGCAUAAUGUAGAUAUUCAGAUAAAAGUGUUUGCAAAGUAAAUUAAAUUGUUGUAGAUGUUGUUGUACAACAAGAGAUGUCGCUACUUUAUUAAUUUACUUUGAGUGUUUGUUUACAUAUCUUUAAUGGAUUCCUGUUUAUUGUGUUGAGACUUAAAUAAAAACUUGGAGGAUUCCAUAGAAACAAACUCCAUACAUUGACAAGUGCUCAAUAUAGGACAAAAGUCCUAGAAAAACACUUUUGGCCAAUUAAAACCAUGUACCGCUGCUCUUGAAUACAGAAUCUCAUGUAGAAAUGGCUGGGAAAUAGGUUGCAUAGGUUGCGUAAGAUUCUCUUACGUUUCUUUCCUUAGCGAAUCAACCUGCUUUCGAUUCUCUGGACUAUUCAUGUUCUUUUUGUUUCUCUAUCAUUGCUACAUUACCUUCAACAAAAGGAAAUCACAAUGGAACUUAUGGUCUCUGAGUGGAGUUUUUCCUCUUAACCUAAAUUCAUGAAAUUCUUUCGAAUAUAAAUUUUAAAAAUCUCGUAAUGUAAAUACACUUUAUUUCUACAAUAAUUUA